UGGGGAAUAUUGCGCAAUGGAGGCAACUCUGACGCAGCCAUGCCGCGUGUGUGAAGAAGGCCCUCGGGUUGUAAAGCACUUUCAAUUGGGAGAAAAAGCUUGUCGUUAAUAGCGGCAAGCCUUGAUGUUACCUUUAGAAGAAGCACCGGCUAACUCCGUGCCAGCAGCCGCGGUAAUACGGAGGGGGUUAGCGUUGUUCGGAAUUACUGGGCGUAAAGCGCACGUAGGCGGACCAGAAAGUUGGGGUGAAAUCCCCGAGCUCAACUUGGGAACUGCCUUUGAUACUGAUUGGCUAGAGUUCGGGAGAGGGUAGUGGAAUUCCCAGUGUAGAGGUGAAAUUCGUAGAUAUUGGGAAGAACACCAGUGGCGAAGGCGGCUACCUGGACCGAUACUGACGCUGAGGCGCGAAAGCGUGGGGAGCAAACAGGAUUAGAUACCCUGGUAGUCCACGCCGUAAAACGAUGUCUACUAGCCGUUGGGGGUACUUGAGACCGUUAGUGGCGCAGCCUAACGCACUAAGUAGACCGCCUGGGAGUACGGCCGCAAGGUUAAAAC
This 555-nucleotide ribosomal RNA is filed under the name uncultured bacterium. RNAcentral describes it as "bacterial SSU rRNA". It matches the Rfam family "Bacterial small subunit ribosomal RNA", at positions 355 to 900 of the family's 1533-position model. The record is from RNAcentral.